Molecule: ribosomal RNA, 418 nt
Filed under: gamma proteobacterium BAL172
Lineage: Bacteria; Pseudomonadati; Pseudomonadota; Gammaproteobacteria
Description: bacterial SSU rRNA
Rfam family: Bacterial small subunit ribosomal RNA
Source: RNAcentral
UACCUUUGCCGGCGAGCGGCGGACGGGUGAGUAAUGCCUAGGGAUCUGCCCAGUCGUGGGGGAUAACAGUUGGAAACGACUGCUAAUACCGCAUACGCCCUACGGGGGAAAGGAGGGGACCUUCGGGCCUUUCGCGAUUGGAUGAACCUAGGUGGGAUUAGCUAGUUGGUGAGGUAAUGGCUCACCAAGGCGACGAUCCCUAGCUGGUCUGAGAGGAUGAUCAGCCACACUGGAACUGAGACACGGUCCAGACUCCUACGGGAGGCAGCAGUGGGGAAUAUUGCACAAUGGGGGAAACCCUGAUGCAGCCAUGCCGCGUGUGUGAAGAAGGCCUUCGGGUUGUAAAGCACUUUCAGUCAGGAGGAAAGGUAGCGUGUUAAUAGCACGUURCUGUGACGUUACUGACAGAAGAAGACCG